ACGUGUAGCAGUGAAAUGCGUAGAUAUGUGGAGGAAUACCAAUGGCGAAGGCAGCCCCCUGGGAUAACACUGACGCUCAUGCACGAAAGCGUGGGGAGCAAACAGGAUUAGAUACCCUGGUAGUCCACGCCCUAAACGAUGCCGACUAGUUGUUGGGAAUUUACAUUCUCAGUAACGUAGCUAACGCGUGAAGUCGGCCGCCUGGGGAGUACGGUCGCAAGAUUAAAACUCAAAGGAAUUGACGGGGACCCGCACAAGCGGUGGAUGAUGUGGAUUAAUUCGAUGCAACGCGAAAAACCUUACCUACCCUUGACAUGUCACUAACGAAGUAGAGAUACAUUAGGUGCCCGUAAGGGAAAGUGAACACAGGUGCUGCAUGGCUGUCGUCAGCU
Molecule: ribosomal RNA, 392 nt
Filed under: uncultured Pseudomonadota bacterium
Lineage: Bacteria; Pseudomonadati; Pseudomonadota
Description: bacterial SSU rRNA
Rfam family: Bacterial small subunit ribosomal RNA
Source: RNAcentral